Molecule: ribosomal RNA, 495 nt
Filed under: uncultured bacterium
Lineage: Bacteria
Description: partial 16S ribosomal RNA
Rfam family: Bacterial small subunit ribosomal RNA
Source: RNAcentral
GACGAAUGCUGGCGGCGUGCCUAAUACAUGCAAGUAGAACGCUGAAGGAGGAGCUUGCUUCUCCGGAUGAGUUGCGAACGGGUGAGUAACGCGUAGGUAACCUGCCUGGUAGCGGGGGAUAACUAUUGGAAACGAUAGCUAAUACCGCAUAACAGUAGAUGUUGCAUGACAUUUGCUUAAAAGGUGCAAUUGCAUCACUACCAGAUGGACCUGCGUUGUAUUAGCUAGUUGGUGAGGUAACGGCUCACCAAGGCGACGAUACAUAGCCGACCUGAGAGGGUGAUCGGCCACACUGGGACUGAGACACGGCCCAGACUCCUACGGGAGGCAGCAGUAGGGAAUCUUCGGCAAUGGACGGAAGUCUGACCGAGCAACGCCGCGUGAGUGAAGAAGGGUUUCGGAUCGUAAAGCUCUGUUGUAAGAGAAGAACGAGUGUGAGAGUGGAAAGUUCACACUGUGACGGUAUCUUACCAGAAAGGGACGGCUAACUACGUG